UGACUUAAAAAAAAAAAAAACCCAAAGAACUAAAGGUGAGCGCUUUAGCUGCGACUGAUAAGAAACGGAGGGACUUAAAAGUCUGCGGAGAGAACUUAGGUGGUUGUGGAGAAUCACAUGACUCUCUUCCAGACAUUGGUUGUGAGAUCUUUGGCAGUAAAUACAGACACCCUUCUAGUGAAAGGUCCUCACUUCAGCUGAAGAGAAAGAAGUUGGUUCAUGACUCCUAGGCACACAGGGUGCAUUGACUCAAUUUCAUUUGUUUGACAGCACUUGGAAAUGGAUGCUGAAACUCCAAAUCCCAAUCCUGGUCACCUUUGGUAAGUUCUCUUGGUCAUUUGUAUGGUUGUUAACUUGACUGCCUAUAAUGAAUCAUCUUAUUUAUAGUUUUUUCCUUAAUGCUGUUAUAGUUUCUA
Long non-coding RNA from Trichomycterus rosablanca, 416 nucleotides. RefSeq lists it as uncharacterized. The transcript has 3 exons. The record is from RefSeq and is a predicted model, not a curated record. NCBI's taxonomy places the organism in Eukaryota, Metazoa, Chordata, Actinopteri, Siluriformes, Trichomycteridae.